GAUCAUGACUCAGGAUAAACGCUGGCGGCGCACAUAAGACAUGCAAGUCGAACGAACUUAAUCGACUCUUUUAGAUUCGAAGCGGUUAGUGGCGGACUGGUGAGUAACACGUAAGCAACCUACCUAUUAGAGGGGAAUAACAGUGAGAAAUCACUGCUAAAACCGCAUAUGCCGUGAAUAUCGCAUGAUAAAAACGGGAAAGAGCAAUCUGCUAAUAGAUGGGCUUGCGU
This 230-nucleotide ribosomal RNA is filed under the name uncultured bacterium. RNAcentral describes it as "partial 16S ribosomal RNA". It matches the Rfam family "Bacterial small subunit ribosomal RNA", at positions 15 to 236 of the family's 1533-position model. The record is from RNAcentral.